RNAcentral lists this ribosomal RNA (460 nucleotides) under uncultured bacterium. RNAcentral's name for it is "partial 16S ribosomal RNA". It matches the Rfam family "Bacterial small subunit ribosomal RNA", at positions 338 to 795 of the family's 1533-position model. The record is from RNAcentral.
CCUACGGGUGGCAGCAGUGAGGAAUAUUGGUCAAUGGGCGCGAGCCUGAACCAGCCAAGUAGCGUGAAGGCUGACUGCCCUACGGGUUGUAAACUUCUUUUAUAAAGGAAUAAAGUGAGGCACGUGUGCCUUUUUGUCUGUACUUUAUGAAUAAGGAUCGGCUAACUCCGUGCCAGCAGCCGCGGUAAUGCGGAGGAACCGAGCGUUAGCCGGGUUUGUUGGGUAUAAAGGGAGCGUAGAUGGGUUGUUAAGUCAGUUGUGAAAGUUUGCGGCUCAACCGUAAAAUUGCAAUUGAUACUGGCUGCCUUGAGUACAGGUGAGGUAGGCGGAAUUCGUGGUGUAGCGGUGAAAUGCUUAGAUAUCACGAAGAACUCCGAUUGCGAAGGCAGCCUACUAAACUGCCACUGACAUUGAUGCUCGAAAGUGUGGGUAUCAAACAGGAUUAGAUACCCGAGUAGUC